UCCCAUUUUAUUGACAAGAGACAUUGAAGUUAUUGACGUUAGGACAUGGUGACGUCACGUGGGUCGACGUCGUCGUCGCGGCCGAUCACGUGUACGUAUUCAGCCGCUGUGGUUCAGUCUCAGCAGGAGCAGUGGGUAAGCUGCAUGAGAGACGAGCUACAGGAGCCUCUUACCAUGCCGAAACCGCCGUGCUGAAACCCGCGACGAACGAGUGUUUAGCAGACGCAUGGACUGGCCACGGUUUUGAUUGAUGGCGAGCUAAGGAGCAGGCCUAGAGCCUAUAGACUGACAGAUUGCUGAAGAGCCGCAUCCUUCCUGCCAGGCUGGUAGGGGGCUCUCUGUAGCUCACAAGAACUCUCACCCCGCUCGCUGCCCCCAUUGCCACUACACCCACACAUUCCCUUCACACACACUCUCUCACUCAUAUUCCCCCUGGACUCAAUCUCAAACCCAGACGUGGGUUUCAAUGAACUGUGGGUGGGCGCUGAGGUCAUGAUUUGUGUUCAUGCUGAACCGAGUAUUUGGGAGUGUACAAUUGUUGACGCUGAGAUAUAUCUGUGUCAGUUGAAGUCUUAUUGCGGAUAUUGAUUAUUUGAUGUGCAUACUCAAGUAAUUGAAUGAGAGUUGAUUUACCUUGAACUGCUGUUCCUAGUCCAUAUUUACAAAUUGAUCAAUCUACUCACUGUACAUAAUUGCACUUUAAAUAUUGUAUGUCAUUUACUAUUUUUUUUUUCCAAUACAUGGUACCAUUUAAAAGCAUCUCAGUCUCUUGUCUACUCCUCCUUGAGCGUCCUCUAGACUUCUAAUCACUAUCACUGUGCUUUACUGGGUUAUACGUCACCCUGACAUUUUGAGGUAUCAAUACAGUGGUUAUUAGUCCUAGUAUGUUAAAUUAAUUUGACCCAGGUGCUACAUUUGGGUUUACAUAAAUUGAUGUGUUAGAUGAACAUAUUAGUGAAGAAAGGUAGUGAUAAGCAUUUUUUUCACAGAUGGUCUAUUCUAUUUGCUAAAAUUCCCUAACUAUAACUGAAAUGUUCCUUAUUUUUAUAAUAAAAACAAAUGACCAAAGUUGCCAAAGGUCAAAGUUCAGUCCCCACCAAGAGGAUUUUGUCUGUCUUUGACACUUGCACUAUUGUCUGUUCAAAUAAAUGAAAAGAAAUGGAUCCUUGUGCAUUGGACAGUGACUUCUGUGUACCCUUAGGACUCUGACACACCAAGCCUGCGGUCAGCUGUCGGUCAAAGUUGGGCCAUUGGUUAACGUCUUUUGCCCUAGUUGGUGCAAUGUGUCACACUGUUGCCCCUUGUCAGUCCCUGUCAACUUUUUUCUUUUAGCUGAUUCAGCAUGUUGAAUUGGCAUCAGCAAUGCCAGAGCUCGUCAGUGAAUGAAAUCACUCUGAUUAGCAAUUCAGCUCAUCUCAUUGGAAGAAAAACGGAGGUGGGGAAAGUAAACAAAGAGCUAAAGUCAAGAGGGAGUGAGAACAAGAACAUGUUCCAUAAGGUCAGAUUAUUUUUCAUCCACUGAGCUCUUUAGCAGAAACGUUUCCUGAUGGUUUGUGUUAUUGUUUACUGCCGCACAGUAAAUACGCUCUGUUCUAUCAACAUUGGAUUGUGUUAUUAAUAUACUGACUGGCUUAAGUAUAAUCUGUAGUUC
This is a long non-coding RNA of Epinephelus fuscoguttatus (brown-marbled grouper), 1651 nucleotides long. RefSeq lists it as uncharacterized. The record is from RefSeq and is a predicted model, not a curated record. Lineage: Eukaryota; Metazoa; Chordata; Actinopteri; Perciformes; Serranidae. The transcript has 3 exons.